Molecule: ribosomal RNA, 406 nt
Filed under: uncultured bacterium
Lineage: Bacteria
Description: partial 16S ribosomal RNA
Rfam family: Bacterial small subunit ribosomal RNA
Source: RNAcentral
AUUGAACGCUGGCGGCAGGCCUAACACAUUCAAGUCGAACGAGUGGCGGACGGGUGAGUAAUGUCUGGGAAACUGCCCGAUCGCUGGGGAUAACUCCUGGAAACGGUAGCUAAUACCGCAUACCAUCUGAUGUGCCCAGAUGGGAUUAGCUAGUCGGUGGGGUAACUACUCACCUAGGCGACGUUCCCUAGCUGGUCUGAGAGGAUGACCAGCAACACUGGAACUGUGACACGGUCCAGACUCCUACGAGGGGCAGCAGUGGGGAAUAUUGCACAAUGGGCGCAAGCCUGAUGCAGCCAUGCCGCGUGUAUGAAGAAGGCCUUCGGGUUGUAAAGUACUUUCAGCGAGGAGGCGUUACUCGCAGAAGAAGCACCGGCUAACUCCGUGCCAGCAGCCGCGGUAAUUC